RNAcentral lists this long non-coding RNA (327 nucleotides) under Setaria viridis. RNAcentral's name for it is "long non-coding RNA (SVIR_LNC004020)". The record is from RNAcentral. Lineage: Eukaryota; Viridiplantae; Streptophyta; Magnoliopsida; Poales; Poaceae.
CGACAUUAACUGACACGCCAGAGCUGUUUUAUUUAUAUCUCGAGCUACAGAAGUCCAAAUGACAUGAAACCCGUGGGGUUAGUUUCAGAACUUCGUGGAGAAUUUUCUGUAAAUUUUUCAGAAUUUUGGAGAAUCUGUCUGGGAGGUGUAUGCGAAUUAGUAAAGCACUCAAAAUCUGAAACUGUCGACCGACACUGUCAGCUGGUUAAUUUUAUAACUUGAGAUCCAGAAGUCCGAUUAAGAUGAUUUCCGUUGGGUUGGUUCACCAAUUUAAUAAGUUACGACUUGGUAAUUUUUCAGUAUUUAUGGACACUUCCUCUGAUGACC